CUUUAUUGGAGAGUUUGAUCCUGGCUCAGGAUGAACGCUGGCGGCGUGCCUAAUACAUGCAAGUCGAGCGAAUGGAUUAAGAGCUUGCUCUUAUGAAGUUAGCG
Molecule: ribosomal RNA, 104 nt
Filed under: Bacillus cereus
Lineage: Bacteria; Bacillati; Bacillota; Bacilli; Caryophanales; Bacillaceae
Description: partial 16S ribosomal RNA
Rfam family: Bacterial small subunit ribosomal RNA
Source: RNAcentral